CCCUUAGAUGUUCUGGGCCGCACGCGCGCUACACUGAUGCAUUCAACGAGUUUCUUCCUGGUCCGAGAGGAAUGGGUAACCUUUUGAAAGUGCAUCGUGAUAGGGAUAGACUAUUGCAAUUAUUGGUCUUCAACGAGGAAUUCCUAGUAGACGUAGUUCAUCAGACUGCAUCGAUUACGUCCCUGCCCUUUGUACACACCGCCCGUCGCUACUCCCGAUUGAAUGGUUUAGUGAGGCCUUCUGACUGGCGCCGCUACUCUGGCAACAGAGCGGCGGAUGCCGGGAAGUUGGUCAAACUUGAUCAUUUAGAGGAAGUAAAAGUCGUAACA
This 329-nucleotide ribosomal RNA is filed under the name uncultured eukaryote. Its description in RNAcentral is "partial 18S ribosomal RNA". It matches the Rfam family "Eukaryotic small subunit ribosomal RNA", at positions 1470 to 1796 of the family's 1831-position model. The record is from RNAcentral.